RNAcentral lists this ribosomal RNA (586 nucleotides) under uncultured bacterium. RNAcentral describes it as "bacterial SSU rRNA". It matches the Rfam family "Bacterial small subunit ribosomal RNA", at positions 60 to 658 of the family's 1533-position model. The record is from RNAcentral.
AGUCGACGAUGAAGCUGGAGCUUGCUCCGGUGGAUUAGUGGCGAACGGGUGAGUAACACGUGAGCAAUCUGCCCUUGACUCUGGGAUAACUGCGGGAAACUGUAGCUAAUACCGGAUACUUUCCUCGGUGGGCAUCCACUGGGGAAGAAAGAAUUUCGGUCAAGGAUGAGCUCGCGACCUAUCAGCUAGUUGGUGAGGUAAUGGCUCACCAAGGCGACGACGGGUAGCCGGCCUGAGAGGGUGACCGGCCACACUGGGACUGAGACACGGCCCAGACUCCUACGGGAGGCAGCAGUGGGGAAUAUUGCACAAUGGGCGCAAGCCUGAUGCAGCAACGCCGCGUGAGGGACGAAGGCCUUCGGGUUGUAAACCUCUUUUAGCAGGGAAGAAGCGAAAGUGACGGUACCUGCAGAAAAAGCACCGGCUAACUACGUGCCAGCAGCCGCGGUAAUACGUAGGGUGCAAGCGUUGUCCGGAAUUAUUGGGCGUAAAGAGCUCGUAGGCGGUUUGUCACGUCUGCUGUGAAAUUUCGAGGCUCAACCUCGAACUUGCAGUGGGUACGGGCAGGCUAGAGUGCGGUAGGGGA